UAAAAUCGAUUUCCAUAUUGAUCCAGAUCGUUUUAUUUUGUAAUCAUGAUCUUUAUGGAUCAUUUGCCAUAAUUAAAUGCAGCUAAUGAAGGCUGUCAGCAUUUAUCCAAUCAAUUAUAAAAUGAAUUGAUUUUGUUACCAGAGACACAUUUAUACUUGUAUAAUAGUUCAGCACGACAUCUAUUGAGAAUGUCCUUGUAAUACCGGCCCAUCUAAACUUCAUUCCAAUCCAAUCUAGUACAAUUUUAGUACUUUUAGUAAUAAGCCCAUCUAGAUGGUUGAUAAUAAUUAAUCUAUUCAGCAAAUUCUGAAUAUCAACAAGUCAAACAGGUUUUUGACAUAUGAUAUUUUAAAUGCCGGCUGCCGGUGUCUGUUCGUUACUUGUUGCAUUCUAGUUUUUAAAUUUAAAAUCAAUUUCUGUUUUUCAUUCAAACCUUUCGGUUGUACGAAAUGGUAAUAUUAAAAUAAAAGUUUUUAAAUAACCAAGUCAAGUCUUUUUUUUAUACAUUUAUUUAAACUACACUUAUCUUUGCAUAUUACUACUGAAAAGAGAGAAAAAGUGCGUCAUUAUAGAAAUCCUUUGUGUUAAAAAAGGUUAAAAUUGACCAAAAGGGCAUAAGAUAAAAUACCCUUGCUCUGCAAUUUCAUCAUGGUGAAUAGUGCAUUUUUGAAUCACUUUUCACGAAAUGGUAUUAUGUUACGAUUGAACAAAAGAUCGAUAGCUAAUUUUGCCAAAGUGUCGCGUAAAAAAUUAUCUUCGAUCUUUACUGGAGCUCCUGCGAAGCAAUACCAACAUCAAAUUUAAAUUAUUCGCCUUAAUUCGGUGAAAAAAUGUUGAACAUAACUUCGAACUGCGUUCGAACAGAUAAGUAAAAUUGCACAAAAUGGCCACAAGCCGACAAGUAAUUAAACAAAAAGUGGAGAAAAAGACAUUAUCGAAAUCAUCAAAAUUCAAGGACACACAUGCUUGGGUUUAAAUUGGAAAAUAAUAACCCAAUAAAAUAUCUAUUAAAAUGCUGCACAGAGACAAAAUUUAGACUUCAUCUUCAUUGCGCCGCAGUUUGUAAGUUUUUUUUAGGUUUAAGUCAACACUAAGUUAAAAACUAUAGUUUUUUAUUUAUAAGUUUGAAAAUCGAUUUUGUUAAAAGUUAAAGAAAAUCGCUUGCUUUUUCUGCACGCAGUGAAAAAACUCUAAAACAAAAAGAAACAUUUUAUACAACAAAAGUCAACAUGAAUAUCAUCAACAAAAUUAAUUUUUCUUACUCAACUAUAAUUUUUGGUUAGAUAAAAUUUAAUUCAAAUCAUUAUUAUCUCUUAGGUGAAGUAUUACAAUAUUUAAGAAUUUUUUGUUUAGCUUUUCGUUGAAAGAUAAAUUAUUGCACUUUUCGUUGUUAUGAAUAUAAACUCCUGGCUCAUAUUUAAUUAAUAUUUAUUUAUUUUAUUUUCUUGAGAUCAAAAGUCUUUCGAAUUAAAAUUUUCUAUUUCUUCAGCUUCAUAUCUCCCAGGCAUUAAUAAAAGUAUCUAUUCUCUGUAAUAAUUGACUGAGUCCAGUUUAUGGCCUCUGUUAUAAGUUUCUUCGCUCAUUUUAAGGGUAAGAAAUAUUUCUUUAAAGGCAAUCAGCUCAGGUUUUUUGAAAAAAGAAUUCAUUAAAUGGUUUUUGUUUUGUAAAUUCAAUUCAUGGUGUUUUAUAAGUUCAACAUCAUCUAAUCAAUAUCAUUGUUUUUUUCAUUACCGGCAAAGGAAAGUUGAAUCGACAUCUCGUUUUAUUUCUUUUCCCUUUUGUACAUGUGUGGGAUGGGAAUGCUUGUGUCGCAAAUAUAAAACCUACAAAUUCCAAUCAUCAUAUUCACAAGUGAUAAACUCAUCAAUACAUUCAACGCACUUGGAUAUUUGUAAAUUACUACUUUCUGCUGAGUAAACAGGAGAAUUUUCUAGCCACAAAAAAAUAUGUUCGUGAGGUGAUCCUCUAAGUUGAAAUUCAACUCUUUCAUAGCUAUCUAUUAAUCUAUAUCUAUUGAAUUGCCCAUUAACAUCCCUCAAAUUGUUCAUAUAUUUGCUGCAUUUAUGAUCAAAAUAUCUAGCACAAGUUACUGGGUCAUUCCUUAUUAGUUCUGUUUUGUCAUAUUGAUCUAAUGAAAUUACUUCUUCUAAUGUUAAUUUUUUUUUCCGCGAAGUAAUAAUGACAAUAAUUGUACCAGUUCAGGCCAGUUAUCUUCAACUGCAGAUAAGUUCAAAAAUAUUAUUGACGUUUGUUGUUGAGGACGUUGACGGGUCCGAAAAAUAGGUUUCAACUGGUUUCAA
Long non-coding RNA from Episyrphus balteatus (marmalade hoverfly), 2301 nucleotides. RefSeq lists it as uncharacterized. The transcript has 3 exons. NCBI's taxonomy places the organism in Eukaryota, Metazoa, Arthropoda, Insecta, Diptera, Syrphidae. The record is from RefSeq and is a predicted model, not a curated record.